GAGAGAGCGGUUGGGGAGACACACGUAAUCUUUGUCUCGGAGAGAACAUGGCGCCGGGAAGAGAGGCACAGCUACAUCCGGUUUUGUUUCGCGGACUUUUUCCUGCUGGACCUCCAUCGACAUUUGUCCCGAUCCCUGUGAAAUAGACGCAAACGCGUUAAACUGCUGCAAAGCAAGUGGACACUGACCUGACAAAAGAUGUACGGCCCGCUGAAGCUCAUGGACGACGUGUCCAAGUCAUGAUCUUUAUAAAGAGGGGAGGGGAGGUCAUCACUGUUCCAGCAACUCCUGCUCUGAUCGGCGCACGUCGUCUCAGUGCCCGUGGUUGGCCAAAGCAGGGCUUCUGAGGAGCUGCAAGGGGGAGAAAGGUCGAUACGCGGUCGAGGUGCUGCACGCUACAAAUGGACGUCUUCUCGCUCUGCAUGAGGGUCGGGGACGAGUGAGACUGAAUCGGAAGAAAAGCUUACAGUCCACCCGUCCUCGACCUGCGUCCUGAAGCUGAGCUGAUACGAGAGGUUCUGGUUCAGGGAGGACGAUGGAGGAUACGGACUGGACCACUUCAGCCGGUAGCUGCCAUCGCUGUCCUCAGACGCAGUCAGACCGCCAGGCGGACGUGCCCUCACUGUGCAACACCACCAAACAACACCACCAUCACUGCGAGGCUUCGUUUUGCUCUACAUGACCUACUGCUGUACAUCUAGUUGAUGCUCACGGUGCUGAACGAGAUCCAGAGACGUGUGUUUGGAAGACGAGCAGAGGCUCGUUGUCUGGUUGUUCACAAAGAAGACGACGGAUACUUACUGUUGUUUGAGCUGCUGCUGCUGCUGUCAUGAACGCCACAGUGGUCCAAACCGGAGAGGAGAGCCCGAGUCGGGAGAACCAACCACAUCAAGACCUGGAGGAGAGCCAUCCCUUCAGGGUUCACGGAGCCUCGAUUCUUUUCGUUUCAGUGAUCCAGAUCAGCUGCGUUUCUUCCACAUCAUCAAGGCGCUGUUGCCUCAGAGGCGUUUGCGAAUAAGAUUAUAGUUCAACCUCAAAUGAACAAGAAGGGAAAGACAACAGAAAACCUCGAGCCACAAGACAAAAAUG
Long non-coding RNA from Poeciliopsis prolifica (blackstripe livebearer), 1089 nucleotides. RefSeq lists it as uncharacterized. The record is from RefSeq and is a predicted model, not a curated record. Lineage: Eukaryota; Metazoa; Chordata; Actinopteri; Cyprinodontiformes; Poeciliidae. The transcript has 6 exons.